UUUAGGUCGACCCGCUGAAUUUAAGCAUAUCAGUAAGCGGAGGAACGAGAAACUAACCAGGAUUCCCUCAGUAACGGCGAGUGAAGCGGGAAGAGCCCAGCGUCGAAUCCCCCCGCACCUGGCAGCGGACGGGAAAUGUGACGUAGAGGAAGCCGAGCUGGCCGCGCGCUGCGGUCCUCCAGUCCACCUGAUCGCGGCCCAAGCUCACCCGGCGCGGGUGACAGGCCCCUCGAGGCUCUCCGGGCGCGUCUGGUCAGCGAGCUUCCCAGGAGUCGGGUUGCUUGGGAAUGCAGCCCAAAGAGGGUGGUAAACUCCAUCUAAGGCUAAAUCCUGGCACGAGACCGAUAGCGGACAAGUACCGUGAGGGAAAGUUGAAARGNAACUUUGGRRGAGAGAGUUCAAGAGUACGUGAAACCGCAUGGAGUCUAAACGGGUGGACCCGCAAUAGCUCGUCGACCCGGGGAAUUCAGCCCGCGACUGUCGGCGGCCUAGCGCGGUUCGGCUCCGCCUUUCCCUCCACUCGCUUGGGGGGAGUCUGGGGCGGCUGCCGCCUACCGCGCCAAGGAACUCCGUCCGGCACUGCUCCGGGCGCACUUUCCACCGGGUCGAAGCCGCGUCCGGUUCUGCGUGCGGGUAGAAGCCGCGUCCACGCCAACGGACGGAUGUCGGGGCCUCGGCCUCGAUGUCGCCUGCUCCACCGGCGCCGCGGCGGCCUCGCUGCCGGGACCGAGGACUCUAUCUCGAUAGCCGCGUCUCCGGCGCUCCCCUUGUGCGCUCGCCCGCUCGACUGUGGCGGACUGCCUCGCGGCAGUGCGCCGCGACCGCUGGCCGGGCUUGCCGCUCGCGGGGGAAACCAAGCGCCGGGACGCCUAGGGUCGGCGGCACUUCACGGUCGGUKCWCYASYSKAMCCKUCUUGAAACACGGACCAAGGAGUCUAACAUGUGCGCGAGUCACGGGGAUUUCUCGAAACCCCAGGGCGCAAUGAAAGUAAAGGCGAGCUUCGGGCAAACUCGCCCAGGCAGGAUCCCGGUGCCGUGACAAGCGCCGGGCGCACUGCCGGCCCGUCCGACGCAGCGGGGGUUCUCCCUCCGUCUGCCGGGCGGAGCAAGAGCGCACACGUUGGUACCCGAAAGAUGGUGAACUAUGCUUGAGCAGGACGAAGUCAGGGGAAACUCUGAUGGAGGUCCGCAGCGAUUCUGACGUGCAAAUCGAUCGUCAGACUUGAGUAUAGGGGCGAAAGACCAAUCGAACCAUCUAGUAGCUGGUUCCUUCGAAGUUUCCCUCAGGAUAGCUGGCACACGUCUCAGCGGAAGUUUUAUCCGGUAAGCGAAUGAUUAGAGAGCUCGGGGACUAUUCCGCCCUCGAUCUAUUCUCAAACUUUUAAUGGGUAAAAGUCCGGCUCGCUUCCACAUACGGAAUUCCGAAAUUGCAUUGGAAGGGGGAAGAAGGCGGCGGCGGCAUCCGGGCGUCCCUCCGCGAACCCGAAGAAGCCAAAAUCCGGUGUGGGCCANNNGNCACUUUUUGGNAAACNAACUUGGGCGCUGUGGGAAUGACAAAGCCCNGUAGGCCCNUCACGCGCGGAUGUCUCAGCGAUCCUAGGNGGGGUGGUCUGUGUAUAAACGCACGGGACGNGGUGGCCCACAUG
RNAcentral lists this ribosomal RNA (1646 nucleotides) under Phacoides pectinatus. RNAcentral describes it as "partial large subunit ribosomal RNA". Lineage: Eukaryota; Metazoa; Mollusca; Bivalvia; Lucinida; Lucinidae. The record is from RNAcentral.